AACGAACGCUGGCGGCAUGCCUAACACAUGCAAGUCGAACGAGACCUUCGGGGCUAGUGGCGCACGGGUGCGUAACGCGUGGGAACCUGCCCUUAGGUUCGGAAUAACUCCCCUAAAGGGGUGCUAAUACCGGAUAAUGUCUUCGGACCAAAGAUUUAUCGCCUUUGGAUGGGCCCGCGUUGGAUUAGCUAGUUGGUAGGGUAAAAGCCUACCAAGGCGACGAUCCAUAGCUGGUCUGAGAGGAUGAUCAGCCACACUGGGACUGAGACACGGCCCAGACUCCUACGGGAAGCAGCAGUGGGGAAUAUUGGACAAUGGGCGAAAGCCUGAUCCAGCAAUGCCGCGUGAGUGAUGAAGGCCUUAGGGUUGUAAAGCUCUUUUACCCGGGAGGAUAAUGACAGUACCGGGAGAAUAAGCUCCGGCUAACUCCGUG
Molecule: ribosomal RNA, 433 nt
Filed under: uncultured bacterium
Lineage: Bacteria
Description: partial 16S ribosomal RNA
Rfam family: Bacterial small subunit ribosomal RNA
Source: RNAcentral